This 308-nucleotide long non-coding RNA is filed under the name Panax ginseng (ginseng). RNAcentral's name for it is "long non-coding RNA (PGIN_LNC014514)". The record is from RNAcentral. Lineage: Eukaryota; Viridiplantae; Streptophyta; Magnoliopsida; Apiales; Araliaceae.
UGGAUUCCAUCUACACUCAAGUAAGCGAUGUUCGGGCCUUCACAUCACACUUCUCGGAGUUCGUAUCUCAAGCUUUCAGGCAGUUGGAUGUUCAAGUGUAGUUUCUAACGUAUGGAGUUGCCCAAGCUUAUCCGCCGCUAGAUACACCUUCCGAUGAGGAGGCAGACGAUGAUGAGGCCUCAGAUUAGGGGAUUUUUUAAUUUUAAUCUUGUUUUUACUGUUUAUCAAAAUGAGAUUAUUUUCUUAGUUAAGUUUGGGGGGAGUUGUUUUUAGGUUUGCAUUUGCAUUGCAUUUAGUAUAAGUGAUGG